AUUGAACGCUGGCGGCAGGCCUAACACAUGCAAGUCGAACGGUAGCACAGAGAGCUUGCUCUCGGGUGACGAGUGGCGGACGGGUGAGUAAUGUCUGGGAAACUGCCCGAUGGAGGGGGAUAACUACUGGAAACGGUAGCUAAUACCGCAUAACGUCUUCGGACCAAAGUGGGGGACCUUCGGGCCUCACACCAUCGGAUGUGCCCAGAUGGGAUUAGCUAGUAGGUGGGGUAAUGGCUCACCUAGGCGACGAUCCCUAGCUGGUCUGAGAGGAUGACCAGCCACACUGGAGCUGAGACACGGCCCAGACUCCUACGGGAGGCAGCAGUGGGGAAUAUUGCACAAUGGGCGCAAGCCUGAUGCAGCCAUGCCGCGUGUAUGAAGAAGGCCUUCGGGUUGUAAAGUACUUUCAGCGGGGAGGAAGGCGAUGGAGUUAAUAGCUUCAUCGAUUGACGUUACCCGCAGAAGAAGCACCGGCUAACUCCGUGCCAGCCGCCGCAGUAA
This 504-nucleotide ribosomal RNA is filed under the name uncultured bacterium. Its description in RNAcentral is "partial 16S ribosomal RNA". It matches the Rfam family "Bacterial small subunit ribosomal RNA", at positions 30 to 523 of the family's 1533-position model. The record is from RNAcentral.